RNAcentral lists this ribosomal RNA (468 nucleotides) under uncultured bacterium. Its description in RNAcentral is "partial 16S ribosomal RNA". It matches the Rfam family "Bacterial small subunit ribosomal RNA", at positions 28 to 507 of the family's 1533-position model. The record is from RNAcentral.
GAUGAACGCUGGCGGCGUGCUUAACACAUGCAAGUCGAACGGAAAGGCCCUGCUUUUGUGGGGUGCUCGAGUGGCGAACGGGUGAGUAACACGUGAGUAACCUGCCCUUGACUUUGGGAUAACUUCAGGAAACUGGGGCUAAUACCGGAUAGGAGCUCCUGCUGCAUGGUGGGGGUUGGAAAGUUUCGGCGGUUGGGGAUGGACUCGCGGCUUAUCAGCUUGUUGGUGGGGUAGUGGCUUACCAAGGCUUUGACGGGUAGCCGGCCUGGGAGGGUGACCGGGCACAAGGGGACUAAGAGACGGACCAGACGCCUACGGGAGGCAACGGUGGGAAAUAUUACACAGUGAGGGGGAGCCUGAGACGGAGGCGCCGCGUGCGGAAAGACGGCCUUCGGGUUGAAAACCGCUUUCGCCUGUGACGAAGCGUGAGUGACGGUAAUGAGUAAAGAAGCACCGGCUAACUACGUG